AUGGGAAAUGAGGUGUGACUCCUCAACAGACCCUUUCUACUGUAAUGCGGACGAAAUUCUUAAUAAACCACUGUCGAAAGAUUUGGAAGGUGAGAAAAGUAGGAAGAGGCUAAGUCAGGAUAUCC
Molecule: non-coding RNA, 125 nt
Filed under: Vagococcus fluvialis
Lineage: Bacteria; Bacillati; Bacillota; Bacilli; Lactobacillales; Enterococcaceae
Source: RNAcentral